GUCACCACCUACCUGCUUUAUCUCUUUGUCACAUUUUCAUCUCUUUCUACUUCAACUUUCCUUUGAUUCAUCCCCAAAAGCUUUCCCCUAGGCCACUUGGCAGUAUUCCCUCACUAGUCAAAAUCUGGUGGGUCUUUCUUGAGUGAGCUCUCAGAGCUGACCUCCUUUUUUAAGACAUCUAUUUGCAUGCAGGUGGCCAUCGAUGACAUCAAUGGUUUUGCAGUAUUGAGCCACAUUUUGGAUUUUACCUAGAAGAUGUGCAGAAUAUAAAUGUUUUCAUGAGAACAAAAUAUACAGCUGGAUGUUUGUCACAAUUCUAAUGUCCCUGCAAAGAUGAGAUGCAUGAAUCACACAGCAAUCUCAUCAAAAAGGAAUUUCUGGAAGGCAUAGGAGAAGAGAAUCCUGGAAAAAGCAAGAAGCAGGAAGAUAAGAGGCAAAGAAGAAGAGAGCCCCACCCACUGGGGCAAGCUGGGGCCCCAGAUGAUGAAACUGUGGCCCAGAAAGUUUAAGGGAUGUGUCAAAUGUCACACAGCUCACAGAUCCAGGGACAUGGCUUAAAUCCAGAUAUCUUGAUUCUAACUUCAGUUGAGGAAGAGAAAGAGUGCUGCCCCACGCUGCCUGAUUUACAACGUGAAGUGAAAUCUUUGAAAAGAAAAAUAAGACAAUGUCACUCAAGCUCUUAUCUGAGGAUUUCCUGGGUUUGAAGACAGAGCUCAAACUCAUACAAGGGGUCAUCUGAGUCUGCAGAUAGGCUUGCUUUAUGCUGCUCCGUCAGAUCUCUUCUAAAGAUUAGUGCGCAAUUCUGGACAUUACAUUUUAAUGGUAACAUGGAUUCAACUAAAGGCCGCAGCAACUUUGCUUUGUACACUCUGUCUCCUGCCAAGAGAGCCCAGGGAAGGUAAUGUCUCCUGGAUCGUAUGAAAUGUUUCUGUAACGGUCACUGUAACUCACACCUUGAUUUUUACCAGGUCGCUGGCAAGUGCGAUGGAUUGUAAUUGCUGCACAUUCAUGAGGGCUUCUCAAGGUUACCCGGGCACAGUGAAUACCAAAAGAAGAAUAAGACGGAGAGCUAUUCCUCAGUGAAGCAGAGUUUACAACCCUUGUUCAUUUUGGCCAAAGGCCAGCUGACUCUAGUUUACCUAACUUUUAGAGAGUUUCAGAAAAAAAAAUGGAAGUAAUAUCCUGCCUUUGAGUAUGGAGACAAAAUUCUAAUAUCAUAAGAGAGUUAUCAGAGGUUAAGGCAGUUAGAAGGGUUCAUUCAUUCAACAUUCAACACAAACUGUGAACACCUAACAUUUGCCAUGUACAAAGAAGGACGUUCUGCCUUGGACUAACAUCCAUUCCUGUGAGGGAAGAGAAGCAGCAGCCCCCGAGCACUGCCAGCUGCUGCUGCUGCGAUCCCAGUGUCUGAGUUUGUGACUCGCCGGGAGAUUGUCUGUUCCUGCUGCUUCCAAUAUCGUCUUGGCCUUUAUGAAGGCACAUGCACACGACUGUAGCGGCACCCCUGUCUCCGGCCCAUUGUGGACAUGACUGCUCUUCCAGUGUGGCUCCCCUGUGACAGGCACCUGCUCAGCAACCUACAGAAGCUCCCCCAGCUAUCACAGCUCAAAACUAAAUGUAGACGUGUGACUCUAUGAUACCUUCUGGCUAAAGAUUGCAUCUUUAUCAUCAGAGCAAUAUAUAUCAGGUUGAUUUAUUAACACUCUAUCUCCAAUUGGCUCUAUGCAAUGUGCAGACAAAUAAACACGUAAAUGAAUAAG
This 1760-nucleotide long non-coding RNA is filed under the name Homo sapiens (human). Its description in RNAcentral is "HSALNT0034646". Lineage: Eukaryota; Metazoa; Chordata; Mammalia; Primates; Hominidae. The record is from RNAcentral.